GAUCUGGCAAGACUUACACCAUCCUGGGCCACAAGGAUGCGCCAGGAUUGGCACCCAGGAUGUGUGAAGGUUUAUUGAAAAGACUCCGCGAGAGAUACAACCCUGAGGAUAUCUGUGGCCAGGACUACUCUAUCACACUCAGCCUUGUUGAGAUCUAUAAUGAACGUGUGAGGGAUCUCUUGGCGGACACUGAUACUGGAAGAUGUUUACGUGUCAGGGAACACCCUAAUACUGGCCCUUAUGUUGAUAAUAUGA
Cherax quadricarinatus is the source of this 255-nucleotide non-coding RNA. Lineage: Eukaryota; Metazoa; Arthropoda; Malacostraca; Decapoda; Parastacidae. The record is from RefSeq and is a predicted model, not a curated record.